UUCGGUGGCGAAAGCGGUGGGGUCACACCCGUUCCCAUUCCGAACACGGCAGUUAAGCCCGCCAGCGCCGAUGGUACUUGGGCGGAGACGCCCUGGGAGAGUAGGACGCCGCCGGAU
This 117-nucleotide ribosomal RNA is filed under the name Actinomycetes bacterium. The record is from RNAcentral. Lineage: Bacteria; Bacillati; Actinomycetota; Actinomycetes. RNAcentral also lists the same sequence under 3 other names.